This 253-nucleotide ribosomal RNA is filed under the name uncultured bacterium. RNAcentral describes it as "partial 16S ribosomal RNA". It matches the Rfam family "Bacterial small subunit ribosomal RNA", at positions 524 to 776 of the family's 1533-position model. The record is from RNAcentral.
UACGAAGGGGGCUAGCGUUGUUCGGAUUUACUGGGCGUAAAGCGCACGUAGGCGGAUCGUUAAGUCAGGGGUGAAAUCCUGGAGCUCAACUCCAGAACUGCCUUUGAUACUGGCGAUCUUGAGUCCGGAAGAGGUGAGUGGAACUCCUAGUGUAGAGGUGGAAUGCGUAGAGAUCCGGAAGAACACCGGUGGCGAAGGCGGUCUGCUGGGCCAAGACUGACGCUGAGGCGCGACAGCGUGGGGAGCAAACAGG